Long non-coding RNA from Aegilops tauschii subsp. strangulata, 2080 nucleotides. RefSeq lists it as uncharacterized. Lineage: Eukaryota; Viridiplantae; Streptophyta; Magnoliopsida; Poales; Poaceae. The record is from RefSeq and is a predicted model, not a curated record.
CUUUUUUUAGAAACAAAUACAGUAAUAUUUAUCCAUAUAUGGUUGGUUGCUGCCAACAAAAUUAUUUUCAUCUAUUCAGAUUUGGCGCUCUCAAUCUAUUUUCUUUACCGCCUAAACUUCCCGCAUCUCUCGAAACAUUCUGAGUCAUAUAAUUAUAAUCCCAGUUAUUUUUUCCCACGACGCCAUCUCCCACCUCCCCAUUUUUCAACCUCCCAAUCCAAUCUGCGCCGGCUUCAAGCCAACCCCAGGCGCCGCCCAAUCUCCCACCCCACAGGGCGGCAGCCUCACCCUAAAGCGCCGCCCUCUGCCGCUAGUUCCGCCCGACACCGACUCCCGCUCUCCUCCAUCCGCAGCGUCGGUAGUUGGAGCCCCGCCGGCGUCCGGCGUCCUCACCAACACGAAGCCGUGCCCCCCUGACGUUGUCCUCACCGUCGCCAAGCCGCAUCAACGGCAGUCUCAUCUCUCACCCGAAGAACCACGGCAAGUUCCGUCGCUACACCGCCCGCAAGCAGCGCCCGCCUCCAGCCAGCAUCUUCAGCCUCCGCCACGUCAAGCAGCCUGCAGGGUUCUUGGAAAUAUGUGACCACUGUCUUGAGGUACUGAUGUCAGCCUAAUUUCAAUCCAUUGCUCCAAAUAUAGAACCCUUGGGUCCAAAAUCAAAUCUCACCCAAAGUGAUGCAGAGCUACCUACUGGUGAGUACUAAUACUUAACUAUUGAUGUGAUUAUGUGAACCAAAUAAAAGUUCUGCCUUUUCAGCUGUAGCUGAGAUUUUCGUUGACAAAUCAAAGUUAAGUUGACAGAUUAGCAUAUAUUUGGCAGGCAAAUGCAAAGGUCUGCAACGUGCUAUGUAUACACUACACGAUAAAUCAUAUGUUCUGUUUUUUUUACGAAUGCAAAAUUCUGAGUAACCGAGCCGUGCGUUUUUCACUCUGGUGUAAAAAGUAUGCCAUGUUAAUUUGCACUAAACAUAAAAUUUUGUAUAGGAACCAUGACUUAGUUUCAAGAGGUAAUCAUAAAGUUUAAUGUGUUCAUUUCAAUAUUUGCCUCUAUCACUGCAAUUCUGUUCUCAUCAACUAAUGUAAUGAAUGCUACCUUUUUGUUAUCUCUGAUGUAGCAGUCAUAGUUACAUAAUAGAACAUUGCUUACAACAAUUCAUUUUGGUUUCUUUCCAUAGUAACCGAUAUGCUGGCCAACCCAUUUAUAAAGCGGUAUUGAUAGGACAAGGUGAUAUAUUAGUAGAUUUAGCUCUCUGCAUAGAAGGCGAUCUAUUUGUGCCAGAACCCUUUAAUAUGUAUGCAUUUUUCUUCUAGUCUCUGUUAUGUUCCUAUCAAAUCUUGCAUGGUUCAGUUGUUUAUUAGAUAGUGCAAUGCAAUGCAUGACCUUGACAUAUGUUUCUAUACACACGUUACAGAUCAUUAGCUUGUUGAUGAACAUAUGAUUUUAACAUUGUCUUGGCAAAAAUAUUAUGUUGAGGGUACCUCAGUGGCUUCGACGCUUGAACAUCUCAGUGUAGGCUGCUGCAAGUGUACGACCAGAUGAAGAAAAUUUACAAUGCCCUCCAGAGAUUGAUGAUUUAUUACCAAAAAAGCCUCCUAAAUCUACUAGCCAAAUUAAAAUAAUUUGUAUGCUCAAACAUUUUUUCAAACACAUAUGUAAUGUGAUGUAUGGUCGAGUUAUAAGCCAUUGUGAUAUUCUUGGAUGCAGGGGCGAGUGGAGAGGUGUUACAAGUUAUAGAGAAAUUCUGAGUUAAAACUUCAUCAGAAUUAUGCGGGGGAAAUAAUUUGUGGAGACUGAUGGAAGUUGUAUUCCAAAUGGAUGGUCGACUGCCAUUUAAUUUUUCUCUGUUAUCUUCCUUUUUCAGGGUAGCUGCAAAUUUAGAAAAGGAGUACAUAGAAGGAGCCAGGAGCAAGUACAUAAGAAUUAUUAUUUAAAUGAACAAUAUUUUGAAUUAUGUAUUAGAUUUUAGCUUCAUAGGAAAACUUUGUUCUAGUUUAGAGGAUCUUUUCAUAAUUAUUUGUAUCUUUCAUAUGAAUGUCCGAUUUGAUUCAAUUAUGAACUCAAGGUGUUUGUUCCUACUAA